AGAGUUUGAUCCUGGCUCAGAACGAACGCUGGCGGCGUGGAUAAGACAUGCAAGUCGAACGCUAAUUUGAGUGUAGCAAUACAUUCAGGUUGGAGUGGCGCAAGGGUGCGUAACACGUGGGUAAUUUGCCGUGAAGUUGGGGAUAACUCGCUGAAAGGCGAGCUAAUACCGAAUACGAUCAUUGGGAGGCAUCUUUUGAUGAUCAAAGUUGGGGACCGUAAGGCCUGACGCUACACGAUAAGCCCGCGGCCUAUCAGCUAGUUGGUGAGGUAACGGCUCACCAAGGCUAAGACGGGUAGCUGGUCUGAGAGGACGACCAGUCACACUGGAACUGAGACACGGUCCAGACACCUACGGGUGGCAGCAGUCGAGAAUUUUUCUCAAUGGGCGAAAGCCUGAAGGAGCGACGCCGCGUGGGGGAUGAAGGGCUUCGGCUCGUAAACCCCUGUCAUUUG
This 455-nucleotide ribosomal RNA is filed under the name uncultured bacterium. RNAcentral's name for it is "bacterial SSU rRNA". It matches the Rfam family "Bacterial small subunit ribosomal RNA", at positions 8 to 442 of the family's 1533-position model. The record is from RNAcentral.